CCAUCCCUGGCCCUAGGUGUAGCCGUGGCUGAGCCACGGAGCAGGCAGCCCCAGUCGACCAGCACUCCCGCUUACGCCCCUCCCGCCUGUCCCUUGUCUGGCCCGCCCUGAGGCCCCACAGCUGCCACUCUUCACUCUUUCCUGAGGGCAAGGGUCAGCUGGCUCCCUUGGGCGGCGUCACCCGUCUCCAGAUAUGCAGGAGUGAAUUUCAAGAAAACGCUGACAGCAGCAGAUAUGCAGGGGAGGGGCUCACGGUCUCCCAGAAUUCACAGGAACCAGAGGAACACAAGUCGGGGUGCAGCAGCUCUCUGCUGUGGCCUGGGAAAGCAGUAGAAGAUGCCCAAGUCCUUGGGCCCUGCACCUGCGUGGGAGACCCAGAGGAAGCUCCUGGCUCCUGGCUUUGGAUCAGCCCAGCUCUGGCAGUUGCAGCCAUUUGGAGAGUGAACCAGCGGAUGGAAGACCUCUCUCUCUGUCUCUGUCUCUCCAAUAAAUAAAUAAAAUCUUUAAAAAAAAAAAAAAAAGAAAACACGUUAAGAAUAUUACCGCCUCUCUGGUUUUCCUGUACAUUCC
Molecule: long non-coding RNA, 570 nt
Organism: Oryctolagus cuniculus (rabbit)
Lineage: Eukaryota; Metazoa; Chordata; Mammalia; Lagomorpha; Leporidae
Source: RefSeq, a predicted model, not a curated record